CAAAAAUAAAUUUGACAAAUUCAUUUCACACGAAACCUUUUUUUCUUUUCGACUUUGUGCAAAUAAAGCGCUGUGUAUGCCACUCAUACGCUCGGGCGGUCGCUGUUGUAUUGCGCGCAGUAACUUUCGUGAUUUCUCAUACAAGAGUUUGGUAUAAAUGAUGGUGGCAUCGCAUGCAGAUUUUGCGACUGUCAAAAUCAAUUUGUCGCAAUAAAUUCUAAGGUCACAUGUGCUUUCACCACAAUAAUAAAUGCGAGAUAAACGCAAAAGCUUGCUGGUUUCCGCAUCCAACAUUGAAAGCGCAUUUUUACCAAUCAAAAAUCAACAACAACAACAAAGUAUGUGCGCGGUCGGUGUGUCGAAUGCCAGGUGAAGUGAAAAAAGUCAGCAAAGCAUUGUGACGGCUGGUGGCAACGCUGUGGCAUGCAUCACACGUCCACAUAUACCUAUAUAAGCGUGCUAAAAACAGAAGCACAGCUCGAAAAUCAAGCAUAAUAAAUUCGUUGCGGGCCCAAUGGCAAUACAAUACACACGCACAUUUAUGCGUGUAUGUGUGCGAGUUUUUCGAUGUCACAUGCAAGUAUUGCCGCAUGAUUGUGGCAGCAGCGUUGUGGCGCGUGGCAGAGAUAACUGUUUGCGGUGCGAGGAAUUGCGGUACAUUGUUGUGAUCGAGGAAAAAUUAUUUCGUUUGCCACGAAAUUGAACGCAUACAAUGCGACAAACACGAAAGCGAAAUAUGCGCGUAGCAUAUCGCAAGGCGCACAGCGUUUUCAUGCAAAGAUUUGCUAAUGCAAAUAUAUACAGAAAAUCUUGUUAUUUUUAUUGACGCAGGUGAAAUGUGUUGCACAGCAAUGAAAAAUGUCGCGCAACUGGCAGAAAUGUUGGACGAGAGCUUAAAAUUUAAUGAUUAGUAGAUGAAAUUCUGCUCUACAAGUCCAGUUUUAAACAACUAACAAAUAAAUAAAAAUUUAACAUAAAUCAA
Bactrocera oleae (olive fruit fly) is the source of this 982-nucleotide non-coding RNA. Lineage: Eukaryota; Metazoa; Arthropoda; Insecta; Diptera; Tephritidae. The record is from RefSeq and is a predicted model, not a curated record.